Molecule: ribosomal RNA, 120 nt
Filed under: Aspergillus aculeatus ATCC 16872
Lineage: Eukaryota; Fungi; Ascomycota; Eurotiomycetes; Eurotiales; Aspergillaceae
Source: RNAcentral
ACAUACGACCAUAGGGUGUGGAAAACAGGGCUUCCCGUCCGCUCAGCCGUACUUAAACCACACGCCGGGAGGUUAGUAGUUGGGUGGGUGACCACCAGCGAAUCCCUUCUGUUGUAUGUU